Molecule: transfer RNA, 74 nt
Organism: Loxodonta africana (African savanna elephant)
Lineage: Eukaryota; Metazoa; Chordata; Mammalia; Proboscidea; Elephantidae
Rfam family: tRNA
About the family: Transfer RNA (tRNA) molecules are approximately 80 nucleotides in length. Their secondary structure includes four short double-helical elements and three loops (D, anti-codon, and T loops). Further hydrogen bonds mediate the characteristic L-shaped molecular structure. tRNAs have two regions of fundamental functional importance: the anti-codon, which is responsible for specific mRNA codon recognition, and the 3' end, to which the tRNAs corresponding amino acid is attached (by aminoacyl-tRNA synthetases). tRNAs cope with the degeneracy of the genetic code in two manners: having more than one tRNA (with a specific anti-codon) for a particular amino acid; and 'wobble' base-pairing, i.e. permitting non-standard base-pairing at the 3rd anti-codon position.
Source: Rfam
CCCUGGGUGGUGUAAAUGGUUAAUGCGCUUGGCUGCUAACCAAAACGUUGGUGGUUCGAGUCCACCCAGAGGUG